GCGCACGCAGGCGGUCUGUUAAGUCAGAUGUGAAAUCCCCGGGCUUAACCUGGGAACUGCAUUUGAAACUGGCAGGCUUGAGUCUUGUAGAGGGGGGUAGAAUUCCAGGUGUAGCGGUGAAAUGCGUAGAGAUCUGGAGGAAUACCGGUGGCGAAGGCGGCCCCCUGGACAAAGACUGACGCUCAGGUGCGAAAGCGUGGGGAGCAAACAGGAUUAGAUACCCUGGUAGUCCACGCCGUAAACGAUGUCGACUUGGAGGUUGUUCCCUUGAGGAGUGGCUUCCGGAGCUAACGCGUUAAGUCGACCGCCUGGGGAGUACGGCCGCAAGGUUAAAACUCAAAUGAAUUGACGGGGGCCCGCACAAGCGGUGGAGCAUGUGGUUUAAUUCGAUGCAACGCGAAGAACCUUACCUACUCUUGACAUCCAGAGAACUUUCCAGAGAUGGAUUGGUGCCUUCGGGAACUCUGAGACAGGUGCUGCAUGGCUGUCGUCAGCUCGUGUUGUGAAAUGUUGGGUUAAGUCCCGCAACGAGCGCAACCCUUAUCCUUUGUUGCCAGCGCGUGAGGCGGGAACUCAAAGGAGACUGCCGGUGAUAAACCGGAGGAAGGUGGGGAUGACGUCAAGUCAUCAUGGUCCUUACGAGUAGGGCUACACACGUGCUACAAUGGCGCAUACAAGGAGAAGCGACCUCGCGAGAGCAAGCCGACCUCACAAAGUGCGUCGUAGUCCGG
This 731-nucleotide ribosomal RNA is filed under the name Pantoea eucalypti. RNAcentral's name for it is "bacterial SSU rRNA". It matches the Rfam family "Bacterial small subunit ribosomal RNA", at positions 565 to 1296 of the family's 1533-position model. Lineage: Bacteria; Pseudomonadati; Pseudomonadota; Gammaproteobacteria; Enterobacterales; Erwiniaceae. The record is from RNAcentral.